CCAGAAGAACUGGGACUUUUUAUUUUCUUUCUUUUUUGCUUCAGCUCUUUCACUUUGGUUUAAAGCUGCCUUCUGCUGGCACGGAUUGGGCAGUUAAGAACGAAAAAGGCACUGGCCGCUUGAAGACUCCCAUUGUUGCGGGAAAGCAGAGGACCAGAAAGACCAAUGGGUGGAGCAGGAGGAUUUUAUUAAGGGUCAAGCCUGCAAUACCUAAAGCUCCAGACCUGGAACCCAAAGCUCCCAUCAGUCGCUACCCUGUGAACCUGUGGAGGAUCUGAAGUACCUGUUUAAAAGGCAUCCAAAAGAUAGAAUCUAUCAAGCUACAAAUGGCUAUGUUGCCUGAAGCCCCAGACAUCAUCCUACAAGAAAUAAGUCCAGACUUCUUAAUUUCCCCCUGGAUAGAGCAGGGUAAGAGUUCUGUGGUCCCCUGUUAGGUGGGGCCAGCAGUCCCACUCAGCUGGAAGCAAGUAUAGAAGAAAGAACUUCAACCCUCAGCAACCUAUUAUGAUUUAUGGGGAUCACAUCUCUCAGAGGGAAUUGAGGCAGGAGAAUAGGGAAGGAAGUCAGAAAAUCAACCUGCAGCCUUUUCUCACCAAAACAAGCAUAAGGCACCAUCUGAUAAGGAAGCUGAAGCAAUGAACCAAUGCUUUCUGCAGUAAACAAAUCUGGUAUAACCUUUUAUUAUAAUAAGUUACUUAAAGCCCAUACAUAUGGAAUGCAUAUCAUACAUACACUUAAAAUUAUGGAAUGGCAAGCACAUGCAGGCGCACUGAGAGAGAAAACCAACAAGAAAACUGAUAUGUCAAUUAUAGGCAACCUCCUCCCUAAAAGUUAAGUAAGAGUAGUAAGGUGGUAUAAAAGAACAAAGGCUAUGUUAACCCAGGGCUGAUACCACUCGCGGAUCAGCCCAUUCUUCUCUCUGGAACAUUCUUUGCUUAAUACAUCUUGUGGGGUCAUUA
Molecule: long non-coding RNA, 959 nt
Filed under: Homo sapiens (human)
Lineage: Eukaryota; Metazoa; Chordata; Mammalia; Primates; Hominidae
Description: HSALNT0319722
Source: RNAcentral